Molecule: long non-coding RNA, 908 nt
Filed under: Marmota monax (woodchuck)
Lineage: Eukaryota; Metazoa; Chordata; Mammalia; Rodentia; Sciuridae
Source: RNAcentral
GGGUAUAAUAUAAUGUUUCAAUAUAUGAUACAUAUGAAUCACAGAGAGAACACAGCAGUGACUUCACAGGGUUAAAUGGAAUGCAGUAGUUGCCCAGGAUCUCUGUGAAAACCAGCAUGUGGGUAGCAGGACUGUGAGAGGGUCCUGAGUGUUAAGGCUAUUAUUGGGAUUAAGGACUCAUGCAAGAAGAUUCUCAGGGGGAGUUGUAAUUGGUGGAUUUCAAGCAAGCAGGUGUGAGCUCCGUGGUGGGCACCUAUGAUUGAGGGGUCCUCACUGUGGAAGAUCUGCACAGUCCAGCAGCCUGUGGAGGUCUAUUGAUUAGUCAAAUAGGUUGCAGAGAGCUGUUCCAUUGGGAAGUGAUCACUAGCAGGAGAUUGUAUAUAGAAUAUAUCUGAAUUGAUAACACCGAGGAUGUGUUAGGGAUAAUAAAGCCCUCCUUGUGGUAUGAGAAAUUGCAUGUUAUAUGUAACAGAGAUGCUGAGACAACAUAAAAUUAUAAAAUUCACUACAACUUACCUCAUGGUCUGUAGCAUUACUUUGCGUACUGGGGAUUGAAUCCAGGGAUUCUUAACCACUGAGCCACAUCCCCAGCCUUUUUUAAAUAUUUUAUCUAGAGACAGGGUCUUGGUGAGUUGCCUAGGAUCACACUAAAUUGCUGAGGCUGGCUUUGAACUCUUGAUCCCCCAGCCUAAGUGUUCCAAGCUGCUAGGAUUAUAGGAAUCUGCUACUGCACUGGGCUCACUAGCAUUAUUUUAAAAUGUAAAGCAGUUGUAGUUUGAGUGGUACACAUACUGACUGUAGAAAGACGGUGGUUGGCAGCUGAGAUAUGGAGAUGAAAACUGAGAGAUUGUGGGGAAAGCUGGAUGUGUAUAGCAGCAGGCCAAAGAAUCAGGGAGUGUGGGAUCCUG